Molecule: non-coding RNA, 206 nt
Organism: Oryza punctata
Lineage: Eukaryota; Viridiplantae; Streptophyta; Magnoliopsida; Poales; Poaceae
Source: Rfam
UUUAAGUGCAACCAUAAGUUUUCGUAUCUAACUUGAAUCAUCCGUAUUAUUUGAAAAUAUUAUUAUGAUUAGUAUUUUUAUUAUUAUUAGAUGAUAAAACAGAAUAGUACUUUAUUCGUUACUUAUGUUUUUUAAUUUUUUUCAAAAAAAAAUAGAUAAGACGGACGAUCAAAGUUGAACACGAAAAAGUCAUAACUGCGUUUAAA